RNAcentral lists this non-coding RNA (28 nucleotides) under Mus musculus (house mouse). The record is from RNAcentral. Lineage: Eukaryota; Metazoa; Chordata; Mammalia; Rodentia; Muridae.
GGAAAACUGAGUCAUGAGGGACAAGUCU